GCUUGGGAAUAUGCCUUUAGGUGGGGGACAACAGUUGGAAACGACUGCUAAUACCGCAUAACGUCUACGGACCAAAGUGGGGGACCUUCGGGCCUCACGCCUAAAGAUUAGCCCAAGUGAGAUUAGCUAGUUGGUAAGGUAAUGGCUUACCAAGGCGACGAUCUCUAGCUGGUUUGAGAGGAUGAUCAGCCACACUGGGACUGAGACACGGCCCAGACUCCUACGGGAGGCAGCAGUGGGGAAUAUUGCACAAUGGGCGAAAGCCUGAUGCAGCCAUGCCGCGUGUGUGAAGAAGGCCUU
RNAcentral lists this ribosomal RNA (300 nucleotides) under uncultured Colwelliaceae bacterium. RNAcentral describes it as "bacterial SSU rRNA". It matches the Rfam family "Bacterial small subunit ribosomal RNA", at positions 115 to 418 of the family's 1533-position model. The record is from RNAcentral. Lineage: Bacteria; Pseudomonadati; Pseudomonadota; Gammaproteobacteria; Alteromonadales; Colwelliaceae.